GCUCACACUGGAGCACCCACUCUCACCAAUGGUGGAAGAAACAUUUGAACAAGGGUAAUUAAGGAAAAUGAGCUCCUCUGAAAUGAAGCAGUUUCACUUCAGAUACUGCAAGUAGUCAAGACUCACCCCAUCUACAUCCCCAAGAACUGAAGGCUCCUGUUACAUCAUGGCACCUCUUCCUCUGAUUCCCAGCUUCCACGGAAUUCUCCAUUUCUUCACAUGCUGCUUC
Molecule: long non-coding RNA, 229 nt
Filed under: Homo sapiens (human)
Lineage: Eukaryota; Metazoa; Chordata; Mammalia; Primates; Hominidae
Description: HSALNT0239833
Source: RNAcentral